This 465-nucleotide ribosomal RNA is filed under the name Vreelandella stevensii. RNAcentral describes it as "partial 16S ribosomal RNA". It matches the Rfam family "Bacterial small subunit ribosomal RNA", at positions 338 to 795 of the family's 1533-position model. Lineage: Bacteria; Pseudomonadati; Pseudomonadota; Gammaproteobacteria; Oceanospirillales; Halomonadaceae. The record is from RNAcentral.
CCUACGGGCGGCUGCAGUGGGGAAUAUUGGACAAUGGGGGGAACCCUGAUCCAGCCAUGCCGCGUGUGUGAAGAAGGCCCUCGGGUUGUAAAGCACUUUCAGUGAGGAAGAACGCCUGGUGGUUAAUACCCAUCAGGAAAGACAUCACUCACAGAAGAAGCACCGGCUAACUCCGUGCCAGCAGCCGCGGUAAUACGGAUGGUGCGAGCGUUAAUCGGAAUUACUGGGCGUAAAGCGCGCGUAGGUGGCUUGAUAAGCCGGUUGUGAAAGCCCCGGGCUCAACCUGGGAACGGCAUCCGGAACUGUUAAGCUAGAGUGCAGGAGAGGAAGGUAGAAUUCCCGGUGUAGCGGUGAAAUGCGUAGAGAUCGGGAGGAAUACCAGUGGCGAAGGCGGCCUUCUGGACUGACACUGACACUGAGGUGCGAAAGCGUGGGUAGCAAACAGGAUUAGAUACCCUUGUAGUC